AUGGAGGUGAGGUGGGUCCGAUCCCACCGUUACCCUGCUGUGCACGUGCACGCGGAUGGGGGCCCUGUGGCUGGAGAGCAGAUGGCAGAGUACAGAGGGAGGACGGCGCUGGUGAGCGACGCCAUCGACGAGGGCAGACUGACCCUGCAGAUACGCAGCGCCAGGCCUUCGGAUGACGGGCAGUACCGCUGCAUUUUUGAAAAAGAUGGUGUCUACCAGGAGGCCAGUUUGGAUCUAAAGGUGGUAGGUCUGGGUUCCUCCCCGCUCAUCACCUUGGAGGCGGCGCGGGCGGGAGAAGCACAGCUGACCUGCUCCUCGGGUGGGUGGUUCCCGCGGCCCCUCGCUCGGUGGAGGGACGCGGAAGGGAAGACACUGCCACCAUCUUCCGAGAACCUGACUCAAGGCAGCCACGGGCUGUUCCACGUGGAGACAUUUCUGUCCCUCAUGAACAUCACCGCUGCGAAGGUGACUUGUUCCAUCAGCAGCCCCCUUCUGGGUGAGGAGAGAACGGCGACUUUUUCCCUCUCAGAGCCCCAGAUGACUUUUUUGUGCUCCCGCAAAAUACUGCCGAUUUGGGGAUUGCUUCUUGCUGCGGCUGUAGGCCUGAUCAGGAGGAGCCGAGGCAAAGUGAAUGUGACACAGGAUCCAAACACAGGAAACUGAUCCUUCCCAAGGGAAGCGAGGGUGUGUCCCCUGGACGUUCGGCAGCCAGGAAGUUCGUCCCCAAGAGACGUGACUGCUUGCUCUGUGUGCUGGGCCGGGAGGGGCUCAAGGCAGGGAGGCGGCCCUGCGCG
RNAcentral lists this long non-coding RNA (794 nucleotides) under Microcebus murinus (gray mouse lemur). RNAcentral's name for it is "lncRNA (ENSMICG00000048380.1)". Lineage: Eukaryota; Metazoa; Chordata; Mammalia; Primates; Cheirogaleidae. The record is from RNAcentral.